GACGAACGCUGGCGGCGUGCCUAAUACAUGCAAGUAGAACGCUGAAGAGAGGAGCUUGCUCUUCUUGGAUGAGUUGCGAACGGGUGAGUAACGCGUAGGUAACCUGCCUUGUAGCGGGGGAUAACUAUUGGAAACGAUAGCUAAUACCGCAUAACAAUGGAUGACACAUGUCAUUUAUUUGAAAGGGGCAAUUGCUCCACUACAAGAUGGACCUGCGUUGUAUUAGCUAGUAGGUGAGGUAAUGGCUCACCUAGGCGACGAUACAUAGCCGACCUGAGAGGGUGAGCGGCCACACUGGGACUGAGACACGGCCCAGACUCCUACGGGAGGCAGCAGUAGGGAAUCUUCGGCAAUGGGGGCAACCCUGACCGAGCAACGCCGCGGGAGUGAAGAAGGGUUUCGGAUCGUAAAGCUCUGUUGUAAGUCAAGAACGGGUGUGAGAGUGGAAAGUUCACACUGUGACGGUAGCUUACCAGAAAGGGACGGCUAACUACGUG
RNAcentral lists this ribosomal RNA (497 nucleotides) under uncultured bacterium. Its description in RNAcentral is "partial 16S ribosomal RNA". It matches the Rfam family "Bacterial small subunit ribosomal RNA", at positions 28 to 507 of the family's 1533-position model. The record is from RNAcentral.